AGCUCCACCCCUUAGAAUGCGAGGGAAGGAAGAUGAAUGUCCUCACUCUCUCUAACGUCACUUCUAAGCGACGUCAAUUAAUGAUGACUGUACUGGGCUGGAUGACCUCACUGCGCUUCAGGGAUCUGCCGUUAUGUUGUUAGAGCUCGGUUAAUAACAACAUUCUUAAUAAAGCUAAAUGCACUGAUAUUAUGUGAAAUGUCUGGGUUAUGCAACAAUGAAUGAGUGAACAAUACGUAAUUUAUCGCAUGUUUUGUGCAGCUUUGCAUAUCCAAACACGCAAGGAUCAAUUAAUUACAAUACUCAUUCAUGUUAGGAAGUUGGGGUCAGAGCGCAGCGUCAGCCAUGAUACAGCGCCCCUGGAGCAGAGAGGGUUAAGGGCCUUGCUCAAGGGCCCAACAGUGGCAGCUUGGCAGUGCUGGGGCUUGAAACCCUGAUCAGUAACCCAGAGCUUCAAUUGCUAAGCCACCAAUGCCCCACUUCUGAUACAUCCUAUUGAACUCUCUGUGUCUUCAUCCCUUCUUUCCUCAAUCUUUGAAACUGAUAUAGGCAGAAGACAUGGUACUGAUCAUUUUUAAAUAUUGAAAAUAAUAUAUCACUUCAAAAUAAGAAAUAUUACUACAAUUAGAAAGAGUUCAUACAUAUUAUACCUGUGUCACCUGUAACACUAUAGCUGUGAUCAGCAGCAAUGUGCUCUAUGUUUAUAGGUCCAGGGGUGGUGGGCAUUGCAUGUGGUCUCAAUCUUGACCUUUUUGUUCCUGACAAACUGGUCUGCCUCAAAAUGUGCCUGCAGAGUGACUUGAGUUUACUUCCCAACUCCUUUUUGUCUACCCACAUACUGUACAUAUCCCAUAGUGGUUAAAUGCACAGUAUUAGGGAACAAUUCAUACAUAGUUAAAAGACAACAUGAGACAAUGGCCCGAAGACUGCAGUAAGACAGUACCGUCACCAUGAGUCUCAGCUCAAGUCUUUUGCUGUUCCUUAUUUUUUUAAUAAACCUAAUAUUAAACUUC
This is a long non-coding RNA of Ictalurus punctatus (channel catfish), 1013 nucleotides long. RefSeq lists it as uncharacterized. The transcript has 2 exons. Lineage: Eukaryota; Metazoa; Chordata; Actinopteri; Siluriformes; Ictaluridae. The record is from RefSeq and is a predicted model, not a curated record.